This 354-nucleotide long non-coding RNA is filed under the name Ursus maritimus (polar bear). RNAcentral describes it as "lncRNA (ENSUMAG00000020563.1)". The record is from RNAcentral. Lineage: Eukaryota; Metazoa; Chordata; Mammalia; Carnivora; Ursidae.
GGAAUUAUGAGUUUAUUAACAUGGUGAAAGAAAUUGAAGAUAAAAUCAUUUUCUGAGGAAUAUCUCAAGUCUACCAAAGGCUGAAACCUGGAUAAGUCGCUGUAGCUGUUAAGCAUGUCAUUUUGUAUUGGAAGCUAAUAUGAAAGAUGAUAAAAUCCAUAAGGAUAUUAUUUCUAAUUCCUGAAAAAAAGGAGUAACGAAACAAAAAGUCAUUACCACCAUCAACAACAACAACAACAAAAUGAAUCAGAUCAAAAGGAGAAAAUACACCUCACUAAAAAAUAAGCAUCCAGAAUAUCCAGCAGCAUGCUACCUAAAUACGGACUGUGAGGACCAAGAUUGGUGUGAAGAAAC